This 1417-nucleotide long non-coding RNA is filed under the name Ananas comosus (pineapple). Its description in RNAcentral is "long non-coding RNA (ACOM_LNC038642)". Lineage: Eukaryota; Viridiplantae; Streptophyta; Magnoliopsida; Poales; Bromeliaceae. The record is from RNAcentral.
AUUUAAUUAGUAUAAUUUAUGUAAAUUUUGCAACUAUAAAUUUAUAAAAUAAGCAACUAGCUUAAAUUUUGAAGUCAAAAUUAAUAUCGUUGACCAACACAAAUCUAGCAAAUUGAAAGAUCUUUAUAGUCGAAUCAAAAUUGUCCAUAACUUAAAUAAAUUCUGUACGUAUUUGUUGGUGUAAAAUCCAAAAGCUCUAAAUAUUAUUUAAUUAUUUUAUUCUCAUUAAUUGUCUUUUAUUAUGUUAAUUAAUUGAAUGAAUUUAAUUUUAUUUUAUUACUUCUUUAUUCCACUUAAUGGGCCUAAUUAAGGAAAAGUUAAACUCCCAACGUUAACUUUUUCCAUUCCCCUCCAUAUAUGUUUUUGGUCUACUGUCCACAGGGCAAUAUGAGUAGUAGUGAAAACAACAAGUGGAAAAUAGUUUUUUUUUAAGUUUUUUCUUCAAUUUUCUAUUUUCUUGAUUCCUUUAUCACUGGGUGUUGAAAGAAACUUCGUCAACCUCUUCCGCGUUUGUGCUCGUAGGAGGAAGAAUUCCGGUCGUACCUUGGGGCGUUGUUUUCGGUUAAUCCCGCACGUAAGGAUGGAAAUACGCCUUAGAGCAGUGCUUCGCACGCUUCCGGAUCAAUACAGUAUUUAUUUGGAUUUAGCGAUAAUCUGUAAGUUGAUUUAUUUAUUUUCAUCAUAAAAUUUAGUUAGAUUUAAAUCACAAUCAGAUUUCUGUGCGGCAUUUGUUCUAACAGUAUUUACCAAAGAAAAUUUAUUUUCUAACCCUAUAUAAAUAAGCACAUAGUUCUAAAAUAUAUCUUUGGCAUUUUGAGUCUAUUUUGUGUCUCUACAUGUAUAAAUCUCUCCCUCAACACCCUUCAAUAGGCCUAAUAUCACAAAGAAGAAACUUUUCAAUAAGUUCAUUUAUUGAUCUUUCUAGUACUUUGUUGCUACUCAUCUUUCACUCAUUAAUUUCAUAAUAAAAUAUAGGCUAAAUUACAAAAAACCCCCCUAUCUAAACCUGAUUUUUCACUUUUCCCUCCUGUUAUUUAAAAACCUACACUUUGUCCCCUUGUAAAAUAAAAAAUGUUCACAGGAGGGUACGGUGUGAACUGUGACGAUAAAAUAAUCAUUUUGUCCCUCACCAUUUUGCCCCUCACCAUGUUCAUAGGAGAGAAGGUUGAGGGUAUUUUUGGCAUAAAAAAUAUAUAAUAAUAUUUUAUAAACGGAAUCCUAACGGAUUACUAAUGGCAGGGGGCGAAGUGAACAUUUUUUAUUUUACAAGAGAGCAAAGUGUAGGUUUUUAAAUGGCAGAAAAGAAAAAUAAAAAAUCACGUUUUGACAGGAAAGUUUUAUAUAAUUUAGCCUAAAAUAUAUGUUUAAUAUAUAUAUAUAUAUAUAUAGCAAAUAAAUGAGAGAAUGGAUAUAUGAG